GAUGAAGAACGUAGCGAAAUGCGAUAAGUAAUGUGAAUUGCAGAAUUCAGUGAAUCAUCGAAUCUUUGAACGCACAUUGCGCCCGCUAGUAUUCUGGCGGGCAUGCCUGUUCGAGCGUCAUUUCAACCAUCAAGCCCUUUAGCUUGUGUUGGGGACCUGCGGCUGCCGCAGCUCCCGAAAUGCAGUGGCGGGCUCGUUGUCACACCGAGUGCAGUAAUCAUUCUUCUCUCCGGGCGUGGCGGCGGGUUCCGGCCGUAAAAUCACCAAUUUAUCAAGGUUGACCUCGGAUCAGGUAGGAAUACCCGCUGAACUUAAGCAUAUCAAUAAGCGGAGGA
This 335-nucleotide unclassified non-coding RNA is filed under the name soil metagenome. Its description in RNAcentral is "partial contains 5.8S ribosomal RNA, internal transcribed spacer 2, and large subunit ribosomal RNA". The stretch from base 1 to 120 matches the Rfam family "5.8S ribosomal RNA", at positions 35 to 154 of the family's 154-position model. The record is from RNAcentral.